GAUGAUCAGCCACACCGGGACUGAGACACGGCCCGGACUCCUACGGGAGGCAGCAGUGGGGAAUAUUGGACAAUGGGGGCAACCCUGAACCAGCCAUGCCGCGUGUGUGAAGAAGGCCUUUUGGUUGUAAAGCACUUUAAGCAGUGAAGAAGACCUAACGGUUAAUACCCGUUAGCGAUGACAUUAGCUGCAGAAUAAGCACCGGCUAACUCUGUGCCAGCAGCCGCGGUAAUACAGAGGGUGCAAGCGUUAAUCGGAAUUACUGGGCGUAAAGCGAGCGUAGGUGGCUUGAUAAGUCAGAUGUGAAAUCCCCGGGCUUAACCUGGGAACUGCAUCUGAUACUGUUGGGCUAGAGUAGGUGAGAGGGAGGUAGAAUUUCAGGUGUAGCGGUGAAAUGCGUAGAGAUCUGAAGGAAUACCGAUGGCGAAGGCAGCSUCCUGGCAUCAUACUGACACUGAGGUUCGAAAGCGUGGGUAGCAAACAGGAUUAGAUACCCUGGUAGUCCACGCCGUAAACGAUGUCUACUAGUCGUUGGGGAACUUGAUUCCUUAGUGACGCAGCUAACGCAAUAAGUAGACCGCCUGGGGAGUACGGCCGCAAGGUUAAAACUCAAAUGAAUUGACGGGGGCCCGCACAAGCGGUGGAGCAUGUGGUUUAAUUCGAUGCAACGCGAAGAACCUUACCUGGUCUUGACAUAUCUAGAAUCCUGCAGAGAUGCGGGAGUGCCUUCGGGAAUUAGAAUACAGGUGCUGCAUGGCUGUCGUCAGCUCGUGUCGUGAGAUGUUGGGUUAAGUCCCGCAACGAGCGCAACCCUUUUCCUUAGUUACCAGCGGUUUGGCCGGGGACUCUAAGGAUACUGCCAGUGACAAACUGGAGGAAGGCGGGGACGACGUCAAGUCAUCAUGGCCCUUACGACCAGGGCUACACACGUGCUACAAUGGUAGGUACAGAGGGCAGCUACACAGCGAUGUGAUGCGAAUCUCAAAAAGCCUAUCGUAGUCCAGAUUGGAGUCUGCAACUCGACUCCAUGAAGUAGGAAUCGCUAGUAAUCGCGGAUCAGAAUGCCGCGGUGAAUACGUUCCCGGGCCUUGUACACACCGCCCGUCACACCAUGGGAGUUGAUUGCACCAGAAGUGGGUAGCCUAACUUUUAGAGGGCGCUCACCACGGUGUGGUUGAUGACUGGGGUGAAGUCGUAACAAGGUAACCCGGGCGGCCGCUC
This 1221-nucleotide ribosomal RNA is filed under the name uncultured bacterium. RNAcentral describes it as "bacterial SSU rRNA". It matches the Rfam family "Bacterial small subunit ribosomal RNA", at positions 299 to 1514 of the family's 1533-position model. The record is from RNAcentral.